Molecule: ribosomal RNA, 450 nt
Filed under: uncultured bacterium
Lineage: Bacteria
Description: partial 16S ribosomal RNA
Rfam family: Bacterial small subunit ribosomal RNA
Source: RNAcentral
GUGGGGAAUCUUCCGCAAUGGACGAAAGUCUGACGGAGCGACGCCGCGUGAGUGAAGAAGGCCUUCGGGUCGUAAAGCUCUGUCAUCAGGGACGAACGGCCGGUGGAGUGGAAAGCCACCGGAUUGACGGUACCUGAGAAGGAAGCCACGGCUAACUACGUGCCAGCAGCCGCGGUAAUACGUAGGUGGCAAGCGUUGUCCGGAAUUAUUGGGCGUAAAGCGCGCGCAGGUGGGAUCUUAAGUCUGUUCUGAAAGUUCGGAGCUUAACUCCGUGAUGGGAUGGAAACUGGGAUUCUUGAGUAUCGGAGAGGAAAGCGGAAUUCCCCGUGUAGCGGUGAAAUGCGUAGAUAUGGGGAGGAACACCAGUGGCGAAGGCGGCUUUCUGGACGAUGUCUGACACUGAGGCGCGAAAGCCAGGGGAGCGAACGGGAUUAGAUACCCGAGUAGUCC